RNAcentral lists this long non-coding RNA (257 nucleotides) under Vulpes vulpes (red fox). Its description in RNAcentral is "lncRNA (ENSVVUG00000021501.1)". Lineage: Eukaryota; Metazoa; Chordata; Mammalia; Carnivora; Canidae. The record is from RNAcentral.
UAUUUAUUGAUUAAUAAUAUUUUUAAUUCUUUCUGGACAGGGAUCAUUUUUAUUCUUCUUCUGGAUAUUCCAAAGCCCUAAGCAUUCAUAACAGAAGUUUAAUAAAUAUACAUUGAAUUGAAUUUACCUAAUCUCCUAACUCAACAGAAAGAUGGAUGUGCCAGUGGUCAUCAAGCCAUGCAGGUUCUUUCAACUCAGACUAAUAUAAGAAUAAUAUAAGAACUGACUGAAUAAAAUCUCUACAGAAAAUUACUGCA